UGCUUUGUGUUAAGCUUUCUUCAGAAAGCUGGCAUUCGAGCUGGUUUUGCGGUCAAGUUUAAAUUCCAGUAGACACAAAUGGUUUACAUAGAAGUGUCUCUAUCCUGGGUGACAGAAACAUCAUUAUUUGAGCAGUGAUUGCAAGAAGUCUGCAGCAUUGGUACCUAUAUAGUUGGAGGAAUUGCUUAAGAUAUUCUGGAUAUUUCCUUAAUUAUUUCAGAUAAGCUCCAUUUUUUGAUGUGACCAGUACUAAGGAAAGUUAGAACUCCCAAAAGCCAGACUUGACGUACAUCUGGAAUAAAGAAGCUCUUAAAUUAU
Molecule: long non-coding RNA, 318 nt
Organism: Suricata suricatta (meerkat)
Lineage: Eukaryota; Metazoa; Chordata; Mammalia; Carnivora; Herpestidae
Exons: 2
Source: RefSeq, a predicted model, not a curated record